Molecule: ribosomal RNA, 497 nt
Filed under: uncultured bacterium
Lineage: Bacteria
Description: partial 16S ribosomal RNA
Rfam family: Bacterial small subunit ribosomal RNA
Source: RNAcentral
GAUGAACGCUGGCGGCGUGCCUAAUACAUGCAAGUCGAGCGAACAGACGAGGAGCUUGCUCCUCUGACGUUAGCGGCGGACGGGUGAGUAACACGUGGAUAACCUACCUAUAAGACUGGGAUAACUUCGGGAAACCGGAGCUAAUACCGGAUAAUAUAUUGAACCGCAUGGUUCAAUAGUGAAAGACGGUUUUGCUGUCACUUAUAGAUGGAUCCGCGCCGCCUUAGCUAGUUGGUAAGGGAACGGCUUACCAAGGCAACGAUGCGUAGCCGACCUCGGGGGGUGAUCGUCCACACUGGCACUGAGACUCGGUCCCGACCCCGACGGGUGGCAGCAGUAGGGAAUCUGCCGCAAAGGGCGAAAGCCUGACGGUGCAACGCCGCGUGAGUGAUGAAGGUCUUCGGAUCCUAAAUGUCUGCUACUAGGGAAGAACAAAUGUGUAAGUAACUAUGCACGUCUUGACGGUACCUAAUCAGAAAGCCACGGCUAACUACGUG